RNAcentral lists this ribosomal RNA (41 nucleotides) under Paramormyrops kingsleyae. The record is from RNAcentral. Lineage: Eukaryota; Metazoa; Chordata; Actinopteri; Osteoglossiformes; Mormyridae.
CCUGACAAGUACUUGGAUGGGAGACCAACUAGGAAAGCUGG